UUUCUAGGAGACAAGGAAUUCCCAUUCUUUCAGAAUGUUGCUCAUUAAACUUCUCAAAUGACUUAGGAAACCAUGGUCCAGGAUGACACACGGAGCAGUCAUUAAUGCACCCACUUGCCUUCUGCUUCUCUGCUGUGUUAUGACGCACCUGAGGCCCUCACCAGAUGUGACUGCUCAAUCCUGACUUCCAGCCUCCAGAAGUAUGAGUUCACAGCUGUGCCAUUCCACUGAUGGGAGGAUAUUUGAGAAAUGUUAGAACUUCCAGCAUGCUUGAGCAGUGUGUGGAUUCAGGAUCAACGCCAAGCUGUUCACAACACCCUGUGUGCACUCUGGGCUGGCCAUAUGAUGAGUUUUGGCCAAAAGUCCAGUAACACACGCAAUAUAACAGAUGGUGAGAAAACCAUGAAUGUACACCUGGGAUGCUGCUAACUCCCAGUGAAUAUUUAUACUUAAAAUACUUUUGACCAUUCUAUCUCAUUCCUGUGGUUACAGAAUUUUAUUUUGGGGGCAGAAAUCUGGCAGUUUGGUUGCCUUUCUCUCUAUUUAGUGAUGUGUUGGUAAAUAUUUUAACAACUAGUUCUCUGGGAAAUUAAAAAGCAUUAAUUUACUGGC
This is a non-coding RNA of Ictidomys tridecemlineatus (thirteen-lined ground squirrel), 612 nucleotides long. Lineage: Eukaryota; Metazoa; Chordata; Mammalia; Rodentia; Sciuridae. The record is from RefSeq and is a predicted model, not a curated record.